The sequence is a ribosomal RNA, 434 nucleotides long. It matches the Rfam family "Bacterial small subunit ribosomal RNA", at positions 341 to 792 of the family's 1533-position model.
ACGGAAGGCAGCAGUGGGGAAUAUUGGGCAAUGGGCGGAAGCCUGACCCAGCGACGCCGCGUGAGGGAAGACGGUCUUCGGAUUGUAAACCUCUUUCAGCAGGGAAGAUAAUGACGGUACCUGCAGAAGAAGCCACGGCUAACUACGUGCCAGCAGCCGCGGUAAUACGUAGGUGGCAAGCGUUAUCCGGAAUUACUGGGUGUAAAGGGUGUGUAGGCGGGAAUGCAAGUCAGAUGUGAAAAUCAUGGGCUCAACCCAUGACCUGCGUCUGAAACUGUAUUUCUUGAGAGUGGGAGAGGUAAAUGGAAUUCCUGGUGUAGCGGUGAAAUGCGUAGAUAUCAAGAGGAACACCGGUGGCGAAGGCGAUUUACUGGACCACAACUGACGCUGAGACACGAAAGCGUGGGGAGCAAACAGGAUUAGAUACCCUGGUA